UUGUUAUUUACAACAAUCUAGAAAGCUAGGAUAUAAACGGCCACGCGCCUAACAUUUUUUUCUGAUGGCAGAGAAAAUUCUCUCGCGAAUUUCAUCACGUUGUCACGGAUUGCUAUUGGAUGUAAUUGUACCGGUGUAAAUAGCAAGCAAAGGCAAUCAAUGGACAAUUGAACGAACGGUGGACGCAUUGACAUACGAUGUCACCACCGCAGCUAUCUGUCGACCUACCAAUUCCAUCACGCUUAACCAACGAUUCGUUGCCCCAUACGUUGCUGCGAGUAUUUCAUUCGGUGGUCAGCUUGGCUAGACACCCAUUCCCUCCAUCCCCAUUCCCCCUGAAAAGCCCAGGUAAUUGUAUACACCCUGGUUACCGUGCGAUCGUCCCUAUUAUAACUGCGACGCGUGCUCGUGUUAUCAAUGCCACCGGUUAUCACGGGUUAUCCGACGCACGCACCUGCGCCCUACGAGGAUUCCCUUUGAA
Molecule: long non-coding RNA, 481 nt
Organism: Apis florea (little honeybee)
Lineage: Eukaryota; Metazoa; Arthropoda; Insecta; Hymenoptera; Apidae
Source: RefSeq, a predicted model, not a curated record